GAUGAGCUAAAUGGCUGGCUGUAUCACCGACUUUUGUCUGCAAUUAGCCAUGAAAUAUAUAUAGUUUGUGCGCGCCACUUAAAACCAGUUUGCUGUUUGCCGAUCUCUUGACUGGGACGAGGAAGCCACAGCAGCAAACAGCAAAGUAGCAAACAACAAAGCAGCAACAA
Long non-coding RNA from Drosophila nasuta, 170 nucleotides. RefSeq lists it as uncharacterized. Lineage: Eukaryota; Metazoa; Arthropoda; Insecta; Diptera; Drosophilidae. The transcript has 2 exons. The record is from RefSeq and is a predicted model, not a curated record.